RNAcentral lists this ribosomal RNA (433 nucleotides) under uncultured bacterium. Its description in RNAcentral is "partial 16S ribosomal RNA". It matches the Rfam family "Bacterial small subunit ribosomal RNA", at positions 29 to 507 of the family's 1533-position model. The record is from RNAcentral.
AACGAACGCUGGCGGCAUGCCUAACACAUGCAAGUCGAACGAGACCUUCGGGUCUAGUGGCGCACGGGUGCGUAACGCGUGGGAACCUGCCCUUAGGUUCGGAAUAACUCCCCGAAAGGGGUGCUAAUACCGGAUAAUGUCUUCGGACCAAAGAUUUAUCGCCUUUGGAUGGGCCCGCGUUGGAUUAGCUAGUUGGUAGGGUAAAAGCCUACCAAGGCGACGAUCCAUAGCUGGUCUGAGAGGAUGAUCAGCCACACUGGGACUGAGACACGGCCCAGACUCCUACGGGAGGCAGGAGUGGGGAAUAUAGGACAAUGGGCGAAGGGCUGAUCCAGCAAUGCCGCGUGAGUGAUGAAGGCCUUAGGGUUGUAAAGCUCUCUUACCCGGGAUGAUAAUGACGGUACCGGAAGAAUAAGCACCGGCUAACUCCGUG